AUGAUUUAUAAUCAGAUUUAACCUAAAUUCUGAAACAAGUGUUCGAACUGACAUGUUAAACAAAUUUAAAAAAAAAUAAAUACAAUUUUUUAAUAUAAGUACUAAAUAUCUUACGUUUAAUCAUGUUGUAGUAAUUUUUCACUCAAACAGAGUACCUAUACUAAACAAUUAUAUUGAUAAAUAUUUUUUAAUUUUUUUAUUUUUUGAUACAAAGAAAUAAAUCGGUUAAAAGCAAAUAUUAAUCUUAAGUACGUAUUAUUUUAUCAACUAUUUUUAUAAGAAUCAGUAUUAAAAAAAAAAUAAAAAUAUAUUAAUAAUAUACCUGAUAUAACGAAUUCAAUACUAAAUUAAUUUUUUUUAAGGCUGUCGAUUGAAGAAACAACGAAAGGUAUUAAAUUACGUAACAAGGUUUUCAUAAAAAAAAAAAAAAAAAACUAAUAAUCAGAUACUUAAAAAUAAUAACGAUAAAAUAUUUUAGACUAAAAUAGACAAUAAUUUUACUGUUACUAUAUAUGCAAGUUAUACGUAAUUUCGUUAGAUAAUGUUCGUCAAACAUUAAUUCGGAAAUUCAAUUAAACGCCAUUAAUGUUAUUCAAUUUAAAUUUGUUUAAACUAUUAAAAUGUAUUCAUUUGUUGAUUUCGAAAUCAACAUAAAAUACUAUAACGCGAGCGCGCACAAAACUAAUUAUUAUUAUUAUAGGUAACAGUAAUGUUCCGGGCUAAGUUUCUCUUCGUAUUUGUUAAUUUUUUACGACAGUAUGAUGUUGUCGUAUUUACUUUAUCGUCAUAUUUUUGAGUACAAACCUCUCAAACAAUUUCAUUUUUUUUUUUUUUGUUAUUUUAAAGUCGAAUAAGACUGUUUUUUUUUUUUUUUAUAUAGUUUACAGCUACAGAAAUAUUACUUUCAACGAUGUUUCGCUACAAGGUAUCGUGGGUUUUCGUGGUAAUUUUGUUUACGUUUUCGUCCGACGGUGCGAGUAUAUAUGAUCCUGGUAAGCGGUUACAUAAAAUCGUUUAAUUGACAUGCACAUUAGAACGAUGAAAUACCAAAAGCAAUAAUUUCGGAUUGUCAGCAUUCGCAUAAAGUUUUUUAUAGAGUUCUUUUGACUUUCAUUCAUUAUAGGUAGAAACCGGAUUUAUAUUCUUUUAUAAUCCAUAAAAAGGCACUUAAAAACACCAAAAAAGUACGAAAAAAAAAACACUUCAAAAUAAAAUCAUAUGUAUAUUAUAAUUAAAAUUACUUUUUAUUUAUCAUUUUUGUAGUGUUAGAAAACUAUAUUUAUAACUUAAAUCUUAUGGAAAGAGGGCUAUUAAACCCCUCUAUUAUUUUUGUGUUUUUGUAUAUUUGUUAAGUUAUUUUUUUUUCCAGUGUUUUUUAGCGUUUUUAAGAGCUUUUUGGAUUUUAAGAACAUAUUAAUCUGGCCUCAGUUAUAGGUAUCUUAUAAAAAACGAACCGAUUUUAAGAGUCUGAACGGAGUGAGGAAUGUAUUGCUUUUACAAUGAUUUAUAUUUUUAUUUUUUUAUGUAAAUACUUUUGUACCAGAAAGCAUACUCCGAUUAUCAAUACAGCGCUUUUUCUGAUAAUGUGGAAAAUCUGGUUUUUUAAGUUAAAAAAAAAAAAAAUAAAAGAAUAAAAAUAAGGUUGUCAUUGACAACUGUUUUUAUUUAUUUCUUUGUUACUAUUAAGUUUUUAUUAUUUUAAAAAAUAUUUUUUAAACAAUCAUUGUUUUCAUAGAAACGCACAUUGUUUUAAUCGUUUUAUUUACUAUAAUUUUAUGAUAUAUAUAUAUAUAUAUUGUUGAAAAAGCAACUCUGUCAACUGAAUUCCGCUCAGAAUAAUUUAUCGUAACUUACAGAUAUGUAUUAAAUUCCCGUCUGUAUCCUACCUUCCCAACUUUCCACGUACAACAGUAGAUGCACCUACGUAUGAAGUAUGUCCGUCCUUUUAUAUAUAUAUAUUUUUUAAAUCGGAUAUGAAUGCAUAAAAAAUUAAAAUUUUAGAAAAAUGUUCUUUUAUAAAAUGGCUAUUUUGAAAAUUGUCUAAAAUGAAUAAAUAAAAAAAAAACUUUUUUGUAAUUAGGGAAUAGUAAUAAAAAUUUAAUUUUUCACCAAAUCGAUGUUCCCCUCGAAAAAAAAAACAAUUAGAAAAAAAAAUGUAAUAUUAACAGCGCCAGAAAAAUCCGUCGACAUGGUUGGACACAAUGUAUUUAUACUUAUAUUCGACAUAAAAUAUGUAAUUUGACUUCAUGUUAGGUACCUAUACACAUGCUGCAUUAUUUUGUUCGAUUAUUAAUUUACCGUUAAUUAUUACGAGUGAUUUGGGUUAAUAGAUGACUUGCUCGUUAGAGGAAUCAGAAAUCAGUAUGGUGUUAAUGGUUUUUAUGGUUCUAUUCGAGAACCUAUGUAUUCGUACUACGGGCCAAGUAAGCGAAAUUAUUUAUAUGUUAUACAUGACUUUUAUCAGCCAUAUUUUCCUAAAAAAAAAAAAAAAACCCCCAAAGCGUACACACUCAUUUACGAAUUUCAACAACGAAUAUUUUGAGGGAUAUGAGCGUAUACCUACUUGUUCUAUUUUUACUGGGUAUACGCUGAUUGACCAAAUGGCAAACGAAUACUCGCCGCAUGCCACCGUAAACCCUCCAAAACGCCAUCGAGUCUAUUAUGACACACAAGAGACGUUCGCGUAACAUUAUUCCGUAGAUCUAAUUUGGCGGCAUAACGCACACGCACGAUAAUCGCUUCCGCGUGCACAUACUAAAUUACUCUGUAUACAGCUUAUACCUUCCCAACUAUCCACCCGCAACAGUCGCCUGCCCGAGAUCAAUCACCGCUCUUCGAAAUUCAUAUUAUACGUCUCACUCCCGCUCCUAAAAAUAAAUCCUGGUCAUGUCACUGGUGUACUAUAAGUAUAUAUAAUUGCAAUAAUUGUUAUUAAAGAUUCAUUGUUGAAGGUAGGUUAAUUGUUUAACAUAAUGUAUAGUUACGCCAAUUAAAACUAUAAUUAUCUUUAUUAGAUAUUAAAAAAUUGUAAUGCAUUUAUAUUUAUUAUUUUCAGUUAUUACAGAAAAGAUAGGGUCAAGAAUAGUAUGAAAAUUUGUAUUAAAAAAACAAUUUAAAAUACAUUUUAAAUGAUAAAUAUAAUUUGUUUAUUGUGAGAUUUUAUUAUAAUUUUAAAAACACAUAUUUGAAAUCAUAAUAAUGGAAAUCAAUUUUAAUAAUUAUAAUAUUGUGCUUAAAAUGUAUGUGGAUAUUUAAGAGAUUUUCGUUUACCUCUACUAUCUCGGACGCGGAAAGCAGGUUCAGGAUCAAUUUUUGAG
Cinara cedri is the source of this 3317-nucleotide non-coding RNA. The record is from the annotation of a GenBank genome assembly. NCBI's taxonomy places the organism in Eukaryota, Metazoa, Arthropoda, Insecta, Hemiptera, Aphididae.